RNA transcript from Oreochromis niloticus (Nile tilapia), 3169 nucleotides. RefSeq lists it as uncharacterized. NCBI's taxonomy places the organism in Eukaryota, Metazoa, Chordata, Actinopteri, Cichliformes, Cichlidae. The transcript has 13 exons. The record is from RefSeq and is a predicted model, not a curated record.
GUUCUCACUCCCGACGCGUAAAAUACUGACGAUUUGUCACGUCCCUUAACUUCUCAUGCUGACGCUGAAGGUACCCUUCCACGUUUUUAUGCGACGCUGUGGGUUGUCAAUUCAUUCCAAUAUGAACCCGCUCGCGGUGAUAAGAGACGCUUCGAGCAGAGGCUCCAGCCAUCCAUUUACUCCAAUAAUAACCCCGUCACUGCGAAACGUGACGCCUUGAAGUACAAUCUAACUGGAGAACCGGGGACCCUCUCCGCGAACGGGUUUUUCUCCCUAAUUUAAUGCUUUCUUUUAAUGACAUCCUUAACAUUUCUCAACAAAAACACAUGAAAGUAACACUGAUAAUUCAACAAUAAAAUCGCUUCAUUUUCCAAAGUGAUUCACGAUCUGAAAGUGCGCAGAUUUAACGUACAUAAUCCUUGGUUGGGUUUAUUAUUUUUAUUUCACACUUAAAACACAUUUAUAGUUUUAUUCACCACUCCUGUUAGUUUUGGAUGCGCUCGGCUCCAACCAAUCAGACGCAACCGGUGUAAGCAAAGGAUGAUGGGAGAACGGAGAGACCCGUUUAUAAGAAUAAGAAAAGGAGGCGGAAUUGAUUGAUUCUAAUGCAGAUCAGCAUCAAUGUCCACGUGAAGAACCUAGUUAUGUUGCCAGUGUCAACCCAACAAAAGGCACUUUCACAAUAUAUAAAAGAAGUGUAUGGAACUGAGGUGCUUCCUCAGGUUGUUGGAGGAUGGAGAAGAGGACGCAGCCGUGACUUGUGAGAUGGCGUCUGAGUCAGCUACUACUCACUAGGAGAUCAGAAACAUGGUGUCCUUGCAAAAGUGGAAAGAGGCCUUGUCUUAUAGACAAUAUGUUAGCUACUCUGGAUCCACUGUCACACCGUGUGUGUCAGUGUGGCAAACAAGUAGUUGUGAGGUGUCUGGACUGCCUGCCUCUUCCAUUCCUUUGUGCCAAGUGUGAUAUUGCAGUUCACACACGCUUUGUCCUGCACAACAGAGAGGCAGUAACAGGAGGGUUUUUGCAGCCUUCAUCAGAGUUUCACAAGCCAAUAGGUACGGUUUUUAAGUCCUAUGCAUUUCUUGCUAUGUUCUAUGAGUGGGUGCUGUUAUUGUAUUUAUAUUGUGUAUCAUUUAAUUUCCAAUUCUUUUUAUAUAUAUUGUGUGUUUUUAAUGUUAGUUCGGCUGUUGCCUGUGCAAAGGCCAGACCAUGUGUGUGACUGCCCAGCAGGCUGUUAUAACCUUGCACUGCCAGUGGUGAGCUGCACCAGCUGUGACCUAAUGUGGUCCCCCUCAGUUAAGGACAUCCUGGGUAGUGGAUAUUGGCCUGGCACCUUAAAUUUCUGCACCCUGUUUUCAAUGGAUGCCUUUCAGUCUUUCUAUGACAUUAAGAAGGCUGCACCAGGGAUGUCACUUAAGGCAUUUGUCAAAAUGCUGGAUGAAAGAACAGCCCAUUUCGGAAGGACUGGCCGAAUAUCAGCUGAUGCCUUCAGUAAAAGCUUUGUGGAGUGGAGUGCUGUUUGAGGUGGACAGGAUGUGCAAGGAGCCAUGCGUUAGCUGUCCUGCCUGCACUCCAGACGUGCUUGCCGUCUCAGUUGAUGGAAACCGUAAGCUUUAUCGCUUUCAAUCUAAUGCAAGCACUUCAGAGCAGGCGAACUUUGAAGGUGUCUUCAUUGAAAAAGAUGAAGUAGCUGAGUUUAUGAAAUACAUCCAGAGACACACAAAUAAUGUAAGAGACUCAUAUAUAUAUAUAUAUAUAUAUAUGCUGUCAGCGUUAAUCUUGUUAAAAUGACGUUAACGCCAUAAACAUAUACACGUGUGUGUAUAAAUACAUAUGGAUGGGUGUAUAUUCAUUUUAUUUUUCUCUUGGUGUUGUUAUAAUACUAUUUACUUUACUUUUUCUUAAUGUAUACUUAAUUUUAGCAUCCCAGGACAUAUUACGUUCCUUUGCUCCGAUGUGUCCUGUAAAUAUUUCCCAUAUUUAACCAAGGUGGCUCAGCUGAGGACUCUUGUCAAUGCGUCCUUUUCUCUCCGUCAUGCAUGCAAAGGCUCUCAUUUGGAAAUGCGAGAUCAAAUGGGGAGGUGCGUUUCAGGAUGGGGCCGGUUCUACAGUUGGAAAAGAGGUGGGACAAGUAAACAGUUUCCUGUCUAGGGCGGCCAUCACAAUGAAGUACAUGUCUAAAGCAGGGCGAACAGACAUGCUGACCCUCCUGGCUUUGGGUUGGAACAAAAGGAAAGUGGAACAACUGGGCCGCAGUUUGAGCCAGAGAUAUCUAAAGAUCAUAAGGAUCCUUAGAGAACAAGUGGAGAGCCUGAAUGCGACCAAAAAUGAGCUGGGUGUGGAUGACGACACACUGCAGCAAUGGGUGGCCGAUGUGCAGAAAUGGGCUGAAGAAACUGAUCAAACUGAUGGCAGCCUUGGAGCGUUGCAGGCACGAAUAGAGGAGCUUGUCGUCAUCAUCAGAGUGCGAACACAAAGUCUUUACAGACAAAAUGGUGUCACAGUUUCUUUGAAAUGGACCGUUUGAUGCUCAGUUUGUACAGCUUGUACAGCUACUUUGUAAACAGAAUAAAAUCAGAUCCAGAUAGCAACAAGAGGUGACACAGAAUUCGCAAAGUCAUCUUAGAUGAGAAGAAACGGUUGGCGGCUGCUGUUGACGACUACAACAAGCUUGCUGAACCAACAAAGCAAAUCGUAUCCAGUGAUGCCCUCAUCCAGACCGACAUUUGGCCCUGGCAGAGCACAAGUGAACCUGCUGCUGACCUCCAGACAAAGAGAAAGGUCUUUGAGAAGGUGAUGGCUGUGAGGCGCCUGAGAGAGGAGGAGAUGAUCCUUUGCAGGGAGAUGCGGCAUCACUGGACAGUGUUACGAAUGCGAUCUGUGGUGUUGGACAAUCUCCUCAGACUCCUCCCUUGUUGGCAUGUCGGAGGAUGCACAGAAGGGACUCCAUAGCCUGGUUUAAAAAAAACAAAGUGAACUGAAAGCUGAAAUGCUGAAAAUAAAGGACAUGUACAAGAGAAUCCUCAGCCACCAACCACUCCUGGAAAUGGACUCGGAGGAGGAGGAAGACAUUCCAGACGAUGCCACUGAGAGUGAUUUGAGCACUUCUGAUGAAGACUGAUUGUGUCAUCAUUGAUGUUAUUUUUGGUAAAAUAAAAAGUUAAUCACA